This 69-nucleotide transfer RNA is filed under the name Plecturocebus donacophilus (Bolivian titi). Its description in RNAcentral is "tRNA-His". It matches the Rfam family "tRNA". From Rfam's summary of the family: Transfer RNA (tRNA) molecules are approximately 80 nucleotides in length. The record is from RNAcentral. Lineage: Eukaryota; Metazoa; Chordata; Mammalia; Primates; Pitheciidae.
GUAGCUAUAGUUUAAUCAAAACAUUAGAUUGUGAAUCUAAUAUUAGAAGUUAAUAACUUCUUAUCUACC